CAAGGAGCUGAGAGUUGGCAUGGAGCAGGGGCGGAGCCAUUCCACGGUCUUCCCCGAGCCUGCCGAUGGAGUGCUGACCUGAGGCAGAGCUGGCAACUGCACAGAGCAGCAGAGUGGCUGGCACCGGGAGAGGGUGGGUGGCCACCUGCCUUCCUGGCAGGAAAGCAGCACCUGACCGCGGUGCUGGGAAGGGGUGCGAUCUGCCCACCUGCCUCCCCCGAGUGCACCAUCUGACUGCAGCAUCGGGAUGGGGAGUGACCUGCCCGCCCACCCACUGGUGCCAGAGAGAUAUGAGCAAUAUGAAGAAGCAGAGGAACCACUCCCAAUUAAAAGAUGAAGAGAAAUCCCCUGAAAGCAAGAUCAAAGAAAUAGACGUUGAUGGCCUGCUAGAUCAAGAUU
Vicugna pacos (alpaca) is the source of this 399-nucleotide non-coding RNA. The record is from RefSeq and is a predicted model, not a curated record. Lineage: Eukaryota; Metazoa; Chordata; Mammalia; Artiodactyla; Camelidae.